GAUGAACGCUGGCGGCGUGCUUAACACAUGCAAGUCGAACGAAACACCUUAUUUGAUUUUCUUCGGAACUGAAGAUUUGGUGAUUGAGUGGCGGACGGGUGAGUAACGCGUGGGUAACCUGCCCUGUACAGGGGGAUAACAGUCAGAAAUGACUGCUAAUACCGCAUAAGACCACAGCACCGCAUGGUGCAGGGGUAAAAACUCCGGUGGUACAGGAUGGACCCGCGUCUGAUUAGCUGGUUGGUGAGGUAACGGCUCACCAAGGCGACGAUCAGUAGCCGGCUGGAGAGAGGCCACGGCGGGAUUGGGAUACGGCCCAGACCCAAACGGUAAGGGGCGGAGGAGGAGGGGACACUAGAGGAGGGGGGAAACCCUGAUGCAGCGACGCCGCGUGAGUGAAGAAGUAUUUCGGUAUGUACAGCUCUAUCAGAAGGGAAGAAAAUGACGGUACCUGACUAAGAAGCCCCGGCUAACUACGUG
RNAcentral lists this ribosomal RNA (480 nucleotides) under uncultured bacterium. RNAcentral's name for it is "partial 16S ribosomal RNA". It matches the Rfam family "Bacterial small subunit ribosomal RNA", at positions 28 to 507 of the family's 1533-position model. The record is from RNAcentral.